Molecule: long non-coding RNA, 403 nt
Filed under: Mytilus galloprovincialis (Mediterranean mussel)
Lineage: Eukaryota; Metazoa; Mollusca; Bivalvia; Mytilida; Mytilidae
Source: RNAcentral
CUCGCAAAUAUCCUGUGGUUUAUUUGAAAAUAAACAUGAAUGAAAAGAGCAUGCUGAUUCUCCAAGAGAUAAAAACGUGCGUCACAAUUAUUGUUAUCGACAACAAAUGCAUUUCCAGCAGUAUUACUUGAACUUUGUGGACAUCUGUUAAUUUCUUGCUCUUUAAGUUGCAAAUGACGGAUUUAAUCUAUAGAUUUCAACCAUCUCUCUUUUAAUUCAGACCAGUAGACUACCAACACGCACAUAAAAAAAGAUCAAACAGGAAAAGUCAUAACAGGAAAAAACAAUUAACAUUUAGAAUAUGUAUUAACAAUUAAUUGUAUUGUGUUUAUGUGGUUUGUUUGUUCCCGGUGGUAACAUCCUUCUAGUUUGAACAGACAAAAGAUUCUUACAAUACCCGCCA